GGGUGGUAAUGCCGGAUGCUCCAUCACACCGCAUGGUGUGUUGGGAAAGCCUUUGCGGCAUGGGAUGGGGUCGCGUCCUAUCAGCUUGAUGGCGGGGUAACGGCCCACCAUGGCUUCGACGGGUAGCCGGCCUGAGAGGGCGACCGGCCACAUUGGGACUGAGAUACGGCCCAGACUCCUACGGGAGGCAGCAGUGGGGAAUAUUGCACAAUGGGCGCAAGCCUGAUGCAGCGACGCCGCGUGAGGGAUGGAGGCCUUCGGGUUGUAAACCUCUUUUGUUAGGGAGCAAGGCAUUUUGUGUUGAGUGUACCUUUCGAAUAAGCACCGGCUAACUACGUGCCAGCAGCCGCGGUAAUACGUAGGGUGCAAGCGUUAUCCGGAAUUAUUGGGCGUAAAGGGCUCGUAGGCGGUUCGUCGCGUCCGGUGUGAAAGUCCAUCGCUUAACGGUGGAUCCGCGCCGGGUACGGGCGGGCUUGAGUGCGGUAGGGGAGACUGGAAUUCCCGGUGUAACGGUGGAAUGUGUAGAUAUCGGAAAGAACACC
RNAcentral lists this ribosomal RNA (542 nucleotides) under Bifidobacterium breve. RNAcentral describes it as "bacterial SSU rRNA". It matches the Rfam family "Bacterial small subunit ribosomal RNA", at positions 158 to 710 of the family's 1533-position model. The record is from RNAcentral. Lineage: Bacteria; Bacillati; Actinomycetota; Actinomycetes; Bifidobacteriales; Bifidobacteriaceae.